GUGGGACUGGGCGGCGAUGGUUGCCGGGAAAUUGUAGUACUUGGGGGUGCCGAAAGUCUGCGGCGCCUGCGCAGAGGAGCUCGGCCGGCGACCCCGUGCGUGGCAGGAAGCGGAAGGGGGCCCGAGGGCUCGAGCACUGACGUGUCUCUCGGAGUGAGCAGGCGUCUCCGCCCGGCCUCGGCUCCCUCUUCGGACAGCACAAGCGGCCGAGAUGGGGAUUAAAUUUCUUGAAGUAAUCAAGCCCUUCUGUGUUAUCUUGCCUGAAAUUCAAAAGCCAGAAAGGAAGAUUCAAUUUAAGGAAAAAGUGCUAUGGACAGCUAUCACACUUUUCAUCUUCUUAGUAUGCUGCCAGAUUCCCCUGUUUGGUAUCAUGUCAUCGGACUCAGCAGAUCCUUUCUACUGGAUGAGAGUGAUUCUGGCUUCAAAUAGGGGAACAUUGAUGGAGCUGGGUAUUUCACCCAUUGUCACUUCUGGGCUCAUCAUGCAGCUCUUGGCUGGCGCCAAGAUAAUUGAGGUUGGGGACACUCCAAAAGACAGAGCUCUCUUCAAUGGGGCGCAGAAAUUGUUUGGCAUGAUUAUUACAAUUGGUCAGUCUAUCGUCUAUGUAAUGACGGGGAUGUAUGGAGACCCAUCUGAGAUGGGUGCUGGUAUCUGUUUGCUUAUCACAAUUCAGCUUUUUGUAGCUGGACUGAUAGUUCUACUAUUGGAUGAGCUUCUACAGAAAGGGUAUGGUCUUGGUUCUGGCAUCUCUCUCUUCAUUGCUACCAACAUCUGUGAGACUAUUGUAUGGAAGGCAUUCAGCCCCACCACUGUGAACACAGGCCGAGGAAUGGAGUUUGAAGGAGCCAUUAUUGCUCUGUUCCAUCUGCUGGCUACUCGUACAGACAAAGUCAGAGCUCUCCGAGAGGCCUUCUACCGCCAGAACCUUCCUAACCUCAUGAACCUGAUUGCCACCAUUUUUGUCUUUGCUGUUGUCAUAUACUUCCAGGGCUUCAGAGUGGACCUCCCCAUCAAAUCUGCCCGCUACCGUGGCCAGUACAACACUUACCCGAUCAAGCUAUUCUAUACUUCCAAUAUACCCAUCAUUCUUCAGUCUGCCUUGGUAUCUAAUCUGUAUGUGAUCUCCCAGAUGUUGUCUGCUCGCUUCAGUGGCAACUUGUUGGUCAGCCUGCUGGGCACCUGGUCUGAUACUUCAUCCGGAGGCCCUGCUCGCUCUUAUCCAGUCGGUGGACUUUGCUAUUAUCUGUCACCCCCUGAGUCCUUUGGUUCGGUGUUAGAAGACCCUGUCCAUGCAGUUGUUUAUAUUGUGUUUAUGUUGGGCUCCUGUGCUUUCUUCUCCAAGACAUGGAUUGAAGUUUCUGGCUCCUCUGCCAAAGAUGUUGCCAAACAACUAAAAGAGCAACAGAUGGUAAUGAGGGGUCACAGAGAAACUUCCAUGGUCCACGAACUAAACAGGUACAUUCCCACAGCUGCUGCAUUUGGUGGUCUCUGCAUUGGUGCUCUCUCUGUCCUGGCAGACUUCCUUGGGGCAAUUGGGUCUGGAACUGGAAUCUUGCUAGCUGUUACUAUCAUUUACCAGUACUUUGAAAUUUUUGUAAAGGAACAGAGUGAAGUUGGGAGCAUGGGAGCUCUUCUUUUCUAAACCCAGCUUCUCAUGGACCUGGGAAAGGGGAAGGCGUAUUCUUGAAUCAUCCAGUCAGGUCUUUCUGCUUUAACUCCUUUGCAGCCAUAUUGAAGAGCAAGACUUGCUGCUCAUGAACAUGCUACUCACACAGUGCACAACACCCUGAGAGAUGUGAUGACUAUCAGGAUCUCAACAAGGACAGUCGGGACAAAGGAUCAGCGCAAGGGCAAACCUGAGGCUGGGAGUAGCAGAGGAGUCUGUAGUCAGGGUCCAGGUCAGAGGGUCAGAAUCAGAAGGUGAAGUCCAAAUCAAGAUAGGAAUGGUCUUGGCAGCUAUGAGAGAUCCAUAUUGUUGCCUGGACAGCUCCUGGAAUGCCCCUUAGUUUUAUAUAGGGUGGGGAGCCAAUCAGGAGCCAUGAGGCUGCUGCCUGUCAGACCCCUUAAGGUGGGACUUCCCAUGGUCUGGUGGCCACAGCGAGGCAGGGCAGUGGAGUGCAGGCUGCUUACAGCUGCUGCUGGGUGGCAGCUCGGCAGGUCUGGGUUCUAGAUACAUGGGGCCUUACAAUGAACCUUCCAUUUUGAGAACCUCAGCACUUCUACCGGAAUGCCGAGUCCACUGUCUCAGAUGGUGCUCCUUUGUGGCAGCAUGUAAUCUCCAGUAACUGAGACAUUGAGCAGAAUGUAUUUAGGCUUUGAUUAUUCUACAGGGCAAAUCUUGUUGUGGGCUAUCUCCUGAGCAACUCCCUGAAGUCGAUGAGGCUGCAUGGAUGAAGAGACUGCGGAAUCUAGGCCUGUGAGAUCUGCAAAGAGCAAUGUCCAGCUCAUCUGAUGGGAGGAUUUCCUUGGGCUCACCUAGCAGAGCUGUUGCCUAUGGAUGAGUAGAGAUCCACUGGGGUCUGUCUUGGCUGUGGUAACUUGUGGGAUACACAUGAGUUGAGUCUAGCCAGAGAUUGAGAGAGUCUGCUAAUUUUUGGCCAAGUUCACUCUGGCAUUUUGCUACCAGCUAGUAGAUACAGCAUAAAGCACUGUGACAGUGGCAUUCUGUCUCCAGGACUAUGUCAAUACAGGAGCUAGAUUAGCGUGGACCCUGACCUGGGUACCACUGAACUGACAACUUGCUAGGUUCCUGAGAGCCACCCUAAUUUUUUGGUUCUUGUGUCAUCCUUGACAGCUGCACAGAAAUAGCCUUUGACCAUGCUAGGUCACCAGCAAUACAAUCUAAUUGAUCAGCUUUCUCCUCACUCUGGUUACUGGAAGAGGGUAGUUACUGGUCACAUUUGGUAGCUCCUCAGUUCACAUUUGACUAUUCCUGGCCUAGAAGAAGCCGCUUUUAAUGUUCUGAAUGCCGGGCGUUGGAGUGGAUAGAAGAGGUGUAGGUGGUUGCAGUCAUUCCACCUUUGAGUGUGAUGCCGUCAGAUCUCAUAAGCUAAACAGGUUUGGGUUUGGUCAACACUUGGAAAGGACACUUCCACCAAAGCUCUAGGUAAGUUAUUUAAUAAGGUGCACUCGUCCCUCUGCAUCAGAACUGAACCAAUGCCCAGCAUGUUGGCAAGGGUACUAUAUUGCUGGAGGUGCCAUCUUUCACCUAAGAUACAAAACCAGGGCUCUGAUCACUUGUCUGUUAAGUGCCCAUGUCACUUGUUCUAAGAGGGUGGAUGUUCUGCUGAAAUUCCACUCUAGAUCAUUUCAUUCUUCCUCCCUAAAUCCCCCUGUGGUUUCAGAUGGAGAUAGGAUAGUUUCUAAACUGUUGUGCAGCAUUGCUGUGCCCUGUUAAACAGUUGCUGCAUUCUGCUCCAGACGUAGCUACGUUUCCGUGGCAGUUGAUGUGAUCCCUGUGUCUAAUGGAACAGUGCUGAGAUGGAAGACGCUGUAUGACUAUAAAAUAUUAUUAAUUA
RNA transcript from Gopherus evgoodei (Goodes thornscrub tortoise), 3518 nucleotides. It is a transcript of the gene named SEC61 translocon alpha 1 subunit, with no coding region annotated. The transcript has 13 exons. Lineage: Eukaryota; Metazoa; Chordata; Testudines; Testudinidae. The record is from RefSeq and is a predicted model, not a curated record.